This 792-nucleotide long non-coding RNA is filed under the name Salmo salar (Atlantic salmon). Its description in RNAcentral is "lncRNA (ENSSSAG00000104061.1)". Lineage: Eukaryota; Metazoa; Chordata; Actinopteri; Salmoniformes; Salmonidae. The record is from RNAcentral.
AAAGAUAACAGUGAAUAUGAGACAUGGGGGAAGGUAGAAGAUAACAGUGAAUAUGAGACAUGGAGGAAGGUAGAAAGAUAACAGUGAAUAUGAGACAUGGGGGAAGGUAGAAAGAUAACAGUGAAUAUGAGACAUGGGGGAAGGUAGAAAGAUAACAGUGAAUAUGAGACAUGGAGGAAGGUAGAAAGAUAACAGUGAAUAUGAGACAUGGAGGAAGGUAGAAAUAUAACAGUGAAUAUGAGACAUGGAGGAAGGUAGAAAGAUAACAGUGAAUAUGAGACAUGGAGGAAGGUAUUGGGAAGGUAGAAAGGUAACAGUGAAUAUGAGCCAUGGGGGAAGGUAGAAAGAUAACAGUGAAUAUGAGACAUGGGGGAAGGUAGAAAGAUAACAGUGAAUAUGAGACAUGGAGGAAGGUAGAAAUAUAACAGUGAAUAUGAGACAUGGAGGAAGGUAGAAAGAUAACAGUGAAUAUGAGACAUGGAGGAAGGUAUUGGGAAGGUAGAAAGGUAACAGUGAAUAUGAGCCAUGGGGGAAGGUAGAAAGAUAACGGUGAAUUUGAGACAUGGGGGAAGGUAGAAAGAUAACAGUGAAUAUGAGACAUGGAGGAAGGUAGAAAGAUAACAGUGAAUAUGAGACAUGGAGGAAGGUAGAAAGAUAACAGUGAAUAUGAGACAUGGGGGAAAGUAGAACAUAACAGUGAAUAUGAGACAUGGAGGAAGGUGGAAAGAUAACAGUGAAUAUGAGACAUGGAGGAAGGUAUUGGGAAGACUGAAAGAUAACAGUGAAUAUGAG